GGUUUAAUUCGAACGCAACGCGCAGAACCUUACCUGGUCUUGACUAUCUCGGGAAUCAUUUGGAAACAUAUGAGUGCCUCGCAAGAGGAGCCCGAUGACAGGUGCUGCAUGGCUGUCGUCAGCUCGUGUCGUGAGAUGUUGGGUUAAGUCCCGCAACGAGCGCAACCCUUGUCUUUAGUUGCCAUCAUUAAGUUGGGCACUCUAAAGAGACUGCCGGUGUCAAACCGGAGGAAGGUGGGAUGACGUCAAGUCCUCAUGGCCUUUAUGACCAGGGCUACACACGUACUACAAUGGCAGGUACAAAGGGCAGCCACUUAGCGAUAAGGCGCGAAUCCCAUAAAACCUGUCUCAGUCCGGAUUGGAGUCUGCAACUCGACUCCAUGAAGUUGGAAUCGCUAGUAAUCGCAGAUCAGCACGCUGCGGUGAAUACGUUCCCGGGCCUU
RNAcentral lists this ribosomal RNA (443 nucleotides) under uncultured Desulfocapsa sp. RNAcentral's name for it is "bacterial SSU rRNA". It matches the Rfam family "Bacterial small subunit ribosomal RNA", at positions 943 to 1382 of the family's 1533-position model. The record is from RNAcentral. Lineage: Bacteria; Pseudomonadati; Thermodesulfobacteriota; Desulfobulbia; Desulfobulbales; Desulfocapsaceae.